RNAcentral lists this ribosomal RNA (254 nucleotides) under uncultured bacterium. RNAcentral describes it as "partial 16S ribosomal RNA". It matches the Rfam family "Bacterial small subunit ribosomal RNA", at positions 524 to 777 of the family's 1533-position model. The record is from RNAcentral.
UACGGAGGGUGCAAGCGUUAUCCGGAUUCACUGGGUUUAAAGGGUGCGUAGGAGGGCAGGUAAGUCAGUGGUGAAAUCCCCAAGCUUAACUUGGGAACUGCCGUUGAUACUAUCUGUCUUGAAUACCGUGGAGGUGAGCGGAAUAUGUCAUGUAGCGGUGAAAUGCUUAGAUAUGACAUAGAACACCAAUUGCGAAGGCAGUUCGCUACACGAAUAUUGACUCUGAGGCACGAAAGCGUGGGGAUCAAACAGGA